AGUUCGGACUGGAGUCUGCAACCCGACUCCACGAAGUUGGAUUCGCUAGUAAUCGCGCAUCAGCCAUGGCGCGGUGAAUACGUUCCCGGGCCUUGUACACACCGCCCGUCAAGCCAUGGGAGCCGGGGGCGCCUGAAGUCCGGGACCGCGAGGACCGGCCUAGGGCGAAACUGGUGACUGGGGCUAAGUCGUAACAAGGUACC
This 203-nucleotide ribosomal RNA is filed under the name uncultured bacterium. RNAcentral describes it as "partial 16S ribosomal RNA". It matches the Rfam family "Bacterial small subunit ribosomal RNA", at positions 1290 to 1500 of the family's 1533-position model. The record is from RNAcentral.